CCUACGGGCGGCAGCAGUCGAGAAUCAUUCACAAUGGGGGAAACCCUGAUGGUGCGACGCCGCGUGGGGGAAUGAAGGUCUUCGGAUUGUAAACCCCUGUCAUGUGGGAGCAAAUUAAAAAGAUAGUACCACAAGAGGAAGAGACGGCUAACUCUGUGCCAGCAGCCGCGGUAAUACAGAGGUCUCAAGCGUUGUUCGGAAUCACUGGGCGUAAGGCGUGCGUAGGCUGUUUCGUAAGUCGGGUGUGAAAGGCGCGGGCUCAACCCGCGGACGGCACAUGAUACUGCGAGACUAGAGUAAUGGAGGGGGAACCGGAAUUCUCGGUGUAGCAGUGAAAUGCGUAGAUAUCGAGAGGAACACUCGUGGCGAAGGCGGGUUCCUGGACAUUAACUGACGCUGAGGCACGAAGGCCAGGGGAGCGAAAGGGAUUAGAUACCCUUGUAGUC
This 446-nucleotide ribosomal RNA is filed under the name uncultured bacterium. RNAcentral's name for it is "partial 16S ribosomal RNA". It matches the Rfam family "Bacterial small subunit ribosomal RNA", at positions 338 to 795 of the family's 1533-position model. The record is from RNAcentral.